Molecule: long non-coding RNA, 469 nt
Filed under: Hordeum vulgare
Lineage: Eukaryota; Viridiplantae; Streptophyta; Magnoliopsida; Poales; Poaceae
Description: long non-coding RNA (HVUL_LNC019412)
Source: RNAcentral
GCAGGAAGCAAAAGAGGAAAAGGGGGAAGAUGACUAUUGAUGAUAAUGGUUCGUUGCACGGAAUGUCUACUAGGAAAAAGACGAAGGAUCUCUCCAGCCUCUAGCCUUUUGCUGGUAAGAAAUUAUGUUUAGAAGUUGCCAGCAAAGCGGGUUGCUACAAAUGUUAGUAUUCAAAUUUCUCUGUUCGACUUCAGCAAGUAUUAGCUGAUCUAAAUCAAGUGCCAACCUAACACUCGUGGCAUAUUUUGUUGAUUUCUUCUUUAGGUUAAUCUGUCAUGGAUAACCUUUGGAUGUUGUCAAUGGUGGCUAUUCAGAUGGAUCCAGCAUUAGCUAAGAGCUGGGGUAGAACGGAUGGCCAGUUCUGAAGCGCAAGAGCCUGAAAUUCAGAUGGAUCUUAGGGCUGUGAUAUGUUGCUGAUUUCGAACUCCCGAUGCUGCAUGCCAACUUGUGAUUUGUAAUGACCUCUCUA